This 440-nucleotide ribosomal RNA is filed under the name uncultured bacterium. RNAcentral's name for it is "partial 16S ribosomal RNA". It matches the Rfam family "Bacterial small subunit ribosomal RNA", at positions 338 to 795 of the family's 1533-position model. The record is from RNAcentral.
CCUACGGGAGGCAGCAGUGGGGAAUAUUGCACAAUGGGGGAAACCCUGAUGCAGCGACGCCGCGUGAGUGAAGAAGUCUUUCGGUAUGUAAAGCUCUAUCAGCAGGGAAGAAAAUGACGGUACCUGAUUAAUAAGCCCCGGCUAACUACGUGCCAGCAGCCGCGGUCAUACGUAGGGGGCAAGCGUUAUCCGGAUUUACUGGGUGUAAAGGGAGCGUAGACGGCAGCACAAGUUUGGAGUAAAAUGCCGGGGCUUAACCCCGGAACUGCUUUGGAAACUGUGCUGCUGGAGUGCGGGAGAGGUAAGUGGAAUUCCUAGUGUAGGGGUGAAAUGCGUAGAUAUUAGGAGGAACACCAGUGGCGAAGGCAGCUUACUGGACUGUAACUGACGUUGAGGCUCGAAAGCGUGGGGAGCAAACAGGAUUAGAUACCCUAGUAGUC